This is a small nucleolar RNA of Mastomys coucha (southern multimammate mouse), 132 nucleotides long. RefSeq annotates it as small nucleolar RNA SNORA17. NCBI's taxonomy places the organism in Eukaryota, Metazoa, Chordata, Mammalia, Rodentia, Muridae. The transcript has a single exon. The record is from RefSeq and is a predicted model, not a curated record.
CCUGGCCCUUGAGGCAUUGAGGGUGUGGCUGCUAGGUCACAGGUUUGUUAAUAGGUAACAGAGUGGAGAGAUAGUAUGACUAUGCUCAGUGUUCUGACCUAGGACCAUCUGAAUGAUCAAUAGCCUAACAUU